AGUGAACGCUGGCGGUAGGCCUAACACAUGCAAGUCGAACGGCAGCACAGUAAGAGCUUGCUCUUACGGGUGGCGAGUGGCGGACGGGUGAGGAAUACAUUGGAAUCUACUUUUUCGUGGGGGAUAACGUAGGGAAACUUACGCUAAUACCGCAUACGACCUACGAGUGAAAGCAGGGGAUCUUCGGACCUUGCGCGAUUGAAUGAGCCGAUGUCGGAUUAGCUAGUUGGCGGGGUAAAGGCCCACCAAGGCGACGAUCCGUAGCUGGUCUGAGAGGAUGAUCAGCCACACUGGAACUGAGACACGGUCCAGACUCCUACGGGAGGCAGCAGUGGGGAAUAUUGGACAAUGGGCGCAAGCCUGAUCCAGCCAUACCGCGUGGGUGAAGAAGGCCUUCGGGUUGUAAAGCCCUUUUGUUGGGAAAGAAAAGCAGCAGGUUAAUACCCCGCUGUUCUGACGGUACCCAAAGAAUAAGCACCGGCUAACUUCGUG
Molecule: ribosomal RNA, 492 nt
Filed under: uncultured bacterium
Lineage: Bacteria
Description: partial 16S ribosomal RNA
Rfam family: Bacterial small subunit ribosomal RNA
Source: RNAcentral